This 253-nucleotide ribosomal RNA is filed under the name uncultured bacterium. RNAcentral's name for it is "partial 16S ribosomal RNA". It matches the Rfam family "Bacterial small subunit ribosomal RNA", at positions 524 to 776 of the family's 1533-position model. The record is from RNAcentral.
AACGUAGGACGCAAGCGUUAUCCGGAGUUACUGGGCGUAAAGGGCGUGUAGGCGGCCUGGUAAGUCCGUCGUGAAAGCCCCCGGCUAAACUGGGGGAGGACGAGGGAGACUGCGAGGCUAGAGGCAGGUAGAGGGGCAUAGAAUUCCGGGUGUAGUGGUGAAAUGCGUAGAGAUCCGGAGGAAUACCAGAGGCGAAGGCGAUGCCCUGGGCCUGUACUGACGCUGAGACGCGACAGCAUGGGGAGCGAACGGG